GCCCCUGUGGCGGAAUGGCAGACGCAGCAGACUUAAAAUCUGAUGUCGAAUGACGUGAGGGUUCGAAUCCCUCCAGGGGCA
Molecule: transfer RNA, 81 nt
Filed under: Clostridiales bacterium
Lineage: Bacteria; Bacillati; Bacillota; Clostridia; Eubacteriales
Description: tRNA-Leu
Rfam family: tRNA
About the family: Transfer RNA (tRNA) molecules are approximately 80 nucleotides in length. Their secondary structure includes four short double-helical elements and three loops (D, anti-codon, and T loops).
Source: RNAcentral